This 618-nucleotide ribosomal RNA is filed under the name uncultured archaeon. RNAcentral's name for it is "bacterial SSU rRNA". It matches the Rfam family "Archaeal small subunit ribosomal RNA", at positions 52 to 669 of the family's 1478-position model. The record is from RNAcentral.
UGCGAGUCAUAUGUUCUUCGUGAACAUGGCGUACUGCUCAGUAACACGUGGAUAACCUGCCCUUGGGACCGGGAUAACCCCGGGAAACUGGGGAUAAUACCGGAUAACGCAUAUCUGCUGGAAUGCUUUAUGCGUAAAAUGGAUUUGUCUGCCCAAGGAUGGGUCUGCGGCCUAUCAGGUAGUAGUGGGUGUAAUGUACCUACUAGCCUACGACGGGUACGGGUUGUGAGAGCAAGAGCCCGGAGAUGGAUUCUGAGACAUGAAUCCAGGCCCUACGGGGCGCAGCAGGCGCGAAAACUUUACAAUGCGGGAAACCGUGAUAAGGGGACACCGAGUGCCAGCAUCAUAUGUUGGCUGUCCAGAUGUGUAAAAUACAUCUGUUAGCAAGGGCCGGGCAAGACCGGUGCCAGCCGCCGCGGUAACACCGGCGGCCCGAGUGGUGAUCGUGAUUAUUGGGUCUAAAGGGUCCGUAGCCGGUUUGGUCAGUCCUCCGGGAAAUCUGACGGCUCAACCGUUAGGCUUUCGGUGGAUACUGCCAGACUUGGAACCGGGAGAGGUAAGAGGUACUACAGGGGUAGGAGUGAAAUCUUGUAAUCCCUGUGAGACCACCUGUGGCGA